RNAcentral lists this ribosomal RNA (253 nucleotides) under uncultured bacterium. Its description in RNAcentral is "partial 16S ribosomal RNA". It matches the Rfam family "Bacterial small subunit ribosomal RNA", at positions 524 to 776 of the family's 1533-position model. The record is from RNAcentral.
UACGUAGGGGGCAAGCGUUAUCCGGAAUUACUGGGUGUAAAGGGUGAGUAGGCGGCAUGGUAAGCCAGAUGUGAAAGCCUUGGGCUUAACCCGAGGAUUGCAUUUGGAACUAUCAAGCUAGAGUACAGGAGAGGAAGGCGGAAUUCCUAGUGUAGCGGUGAAAUGCGUAGAUAUUAGGAAGAACACCAGUGGCGAAGGCGGCUUUCUGGACUGAAACUGACGCUGAGGCACGAAAGCGUGGGGAGCGAACAGG